This 985-nucleotide long non-coding RNA is filed under the name Vigna radiata. RNAcentral's name for it is "long non-coding RNA (VRAD_LNC016119)". Lineage: Eukaryota; Viridiplantae; Streptophyta; Magnoliopsida; Fabales; Fabaceae. The record is from RNAcentral.
UUUUUUUUCUUUUCCCUCACAUAUAGGCCAUUGAAUAGACUUUUUAGGACAGAAGGCCUAGAUAUACGCAUUACACACACAAACAGAACUACGUGGUUACGUAAUUAGACACUAGCAGUUUUUGUGCUUUUCUUUUUCGUGGAAGCUUCCUACGAAUCUGUCAACAAAAUCACUUUUGAUUUUAUUCUCACGUGUAUGUGGUGGUCUCAAUCGAAAUACAUCCUUAAAACUCGUGAUUUUAGGUUCCACUAGUACUGUAUAAAACCAACCACAUAAGCUUUCUUAAUUGUUCUCUCAAACUAAACGAAAACUCUUUCUCAGAUCGACCAAGCAUACCUCGGACUCUCUUCUUUCUAGGUUUAGGAGGAGGAGGGAUCAAAUUCAUCAAUGGCUAAGGGAAUCAGAAGCUUGAGUUCGUGGAUGGAGGUUGCUCCAGCACCCAUAAUCCUCCCAAGGAAGCCUUCCAAUUCGCCUGCUUUGGCGACCAUCACAGAAGAAGAUGCUGAGGAACACACCAAAAAAGCUUCAAUCAAUACCCUCCUCAAAUCGUAGUUGAUUCAAGCUUCUGAAGAUGAUUUACUUGUGAAAAUAAGCGCUAGUUAUUCACAAUAGCUUUGUAGAGUUAGUUGAUUUUGUCAGAUAUGUAGUUCCCUCUUUCUCUUCUUCUUUCUCGAUCACUUUAUUCUGCAUCCCUGCCUUUCAUUUUGGUACGAGUUGAUUUAAGAAAUACCGCACUUCAUUUUUUUUUUGUGGGUUUCAUAAUCCUGUUCUGUUUUCAAAAUCCAAUUUUUUAUGCGUAUAAUUCACGUUGUUAUUAGUUGGUAUCACCCGAACCUAUAAGUUUUAAUCAAUGAAUUCUGCGAUCGAUAAUGGUUAAUUGAAAACAUAGUGCAUGAAGCAGAGAUUAUUAGGAUUGAAUCAGAGACAUACAUGUUCAACUUCAGGGUUUAUUAUGAUGUAUAUGACAAAUCCAGAUUAAUUAAAA